GUGCCAGCAGCCGCGGUAAUACGUAGGUCCCGAACGUUGCGCGAAUUUACUGGGCGUAAAGGGUCCGUAGGCGGUCUGGUAAGUGGAAGGUGAAAUCCUGGGGCUCAACUCCAGAAUCGCCUUCCAAACUGCCGGACUUGAGGCAGGGAGAGGUCGGCGGAAUUCCCGGUGUAGCGGUGAAAUGCGUAGAUAUCGGGAGGAAAACCAGUGGCGAAGGCGGCCGACUGGAACUGACCUGACGCUGAGGGACGAAAGCCAGGGGAGCGAACCGGAUUAGAUACCCGGGUAGGCCUGGCCGUAAACGAUGGAUGCUAGAUGUGGGCGGGGAGACCCGUCCGUGUCGCAAGCUAACGCGUUAAGCAUCCCGCCUGGGGAGUACGGCCGCAAGGUUGAAACUUAAAGGAAUUGACGGGG
Molecule: ribosomal RNA, 414 nt
Filed under: uncultured prokaryote
Description: bacterial SSU rRNA
Rfam family: Bacterial small subunit ribosomal RNA
Source: RNAcentral